This is a long non-coding RNA of Astatotilapia calliptera (eastern happy), 807 nucleotides long. NCBI's taxonomy places the organism in Eukaryota, Metazoa, Chordata, Actinopteri, Cichliformes, Cichlidae. The record is from Ensembl.
CUUCCUGUAAUGGUGGAAACUACAUUUUUAAACACGCACAGACGCAUUUAUCAGCUUGUUGUUUUUUGCAUGAAUUUUCUAGGAGGAUUCAGUCGUGACCGUCUGUCUGGAUCACAGAGGUACUAAAAACAAGCGUCCCUCUAGCAUACGCGGAAGAACCUGCAGAUACUUCUGCCGCUGUGCUUCGGUGAUGGAUGCACUGCUCUAAUACUUUCACACAGAUUCACACACAGCACGCGUAGACGUGUGCAGCUUAAAACGUUUAUUUGUGCUGUAACAAGGAGCCGAAACCAGUGCGAGAUGGAGAGCUGCGACUUCCAGAGUCAGCUGCUGUCCGUCAUGGAAGUCCUGGCCAAGGCGGCUGUAGCUGAGAUAAACCGGCGUGUGGACCAGAGCUGCACGGUGCUCAGGCUGGAGGUGAGCCAGAGCCGGCGGGACAUCGACCUGCUGAAGAGCAAGUGUGAGGUGAUGGAGGCAGAGCUGAGGAAGAGCCGGAUGAGGGCCAGGAGAAAAGUGUUUAACAAUCCAUCAGCGGGGAGAUUCUCUCCUCUGGUCAAAGUAGUUCUCAACAAAGAAACUCAGAGCUCACAUUGGGACACACCGGUGGAAGCUCAGGCUCCAGAUCAACCCCAGCAGUGUGCUGAGGCCGUGGAGCUUGCUAAUGGGCCUGAUCACAUACGGAUCAAAGAGGAGUGUGCAGAAGAGGAUAUGUGGAAAAAUGAUGCAGAGGACAGACCGAGUGAGUCCACACCUUUAAUAGUGAAGAAAUAAAACAAUGUGAUGUUUAAGAGGGACUUUUCGUUCAAG